GACGAACGCUGGCGGCGUGCUUAACACAUGCAAGUCGAACGGAAAGGCCCUGCUUGCAGGGUGCUCGAGUGGCGAACGGGUGAGUAACACGUGGGUGAUCUGCCCCUUACUUUGGGAUAAGCCUGGGAAACUGGGUCUAAUACUGGAUAGGACCAUGCUGUAGGUGGUGUGGUGGAAAGAUUAGUUUCGGUAAGGGAUGAGCUCGCGGCCUAUCAGCUUGUUGGUGGGGUAAUGGCCUACCAAGGCGUCGACGGGUAGCCGGCCUGAGAGGGUGGACGGCGACAUUGGGACUGAGAUACGGCCCAGACUCCUACGGGAGGCAGCAGUGGGGAAUAUUGCACAAUGGGCGCAAGCCUGAUGCAGCGACGCCGCGUGGGGGAUGAGGGCCUUCGGGUUGUAAACUCCUUUCAGCCAUGACGAAGCCUUCGGGUGACGGUAGUGGUAGAAGAAGCACCGGCUAACUACGUG
This 468-nucleotide ribosomal RNA is filed under the name uncultured bacterium. RNAcentral's name for it is "partial 16S ribosomal RNA". It matches the Rfam family "Bacterial small subunit ribosomal RNA", at positions 28 to 507 of the family's 1533-position model. The record is from RNAcentral.